This is a long non-coding RNA of Oncorhynchus tshawytscha (Chinook salmon), 383 nucleotides long. Lineage: Eukaryota; Metazoa; Chordata; Actinopteri; Salmoniformes; Salmonidae. The record is from Ensembl.
UACAGAGUCAAUGUGGAGGCUAUAUACAGGGAGGUACCGGUACAGAGUCAAUGUGGAGACUAUAUACAGGGGGUACCGGUACAGAGUCAAUGUGGAGACUAUAUACAGGGGGUACCAGUACAGAGUCAAUGUGGAGGCUAUAUACAGGGGGUACCAGUACAGAGUCAAUGUGGAGGCUAUAUACAGGGGGUACCAGUACAGAGUCAAUGUGGAGGCUAUAUACAGGGGGUACCAGUACAGAGUCCAUGUGGAGGCUAUAUACAGGAGGUACCAGUACAGAGUCAAUGUGGAGACUAUAUACAGGGAGGUACCGGUACAGAGUCAAUGUGGAGGCUAUAUACAGGGGGUACCAGUACAGAGUCAAUGUGGAGGCUAUAUACAGG